UACGUAGGGUGCGAGCGUUAAUCGGAAUUACUGGGCGUAAAGCGUGCGCAGGCGGUUUUGUAAGACAGAGGGGAAAUCCCCGGGCUUAACCUGGGAACUGCCUUUGUGACUGCAAGGCUUGAGUGCGGCAGAGGGGGAUGGAAUUCCGCGUGUAGCAGUGAAAUGCGUAGAUAUGCGGAGGAACACCGAUGGCGAAGGCAAUCCCCUGGGCCUGCACUGACGCUCAUGCACGAAAGCGUGGGGAGCAAACAGG
Molecule: ribosomal RNA, 253 nt
Filed under: uncultured bacterium
Lineage: Bacteria
Description: partial 16S ribosomal RNA
Rfam family: Bacterial small subunit ribosomal RNA
Source: RNAcentral